CUGUGUCAUCUCUCUACAAAAGCAUACAAGAGUUCCUUGUUUAUUGUUUGAUAAUUGCAUGUAGUCAACGGGAAUAAACCAAACCCCUUGACCACAUCCUAUAUCUAGUCAUAUAGGAAAAUCUCUGAGUACAACUUUCUCCCAUGUGAUAUUAAUUUUAGCUCAUCACGUUACUACAACAACAUAUAUAAUUACUAAAUAAGUUCCAAAACAAAAAAAAAACUUUCAAUGAUUGAAUAAAUUUUAAAUAUUGAAACAAACUUAGUAGUGUACCAUGCCACCCCAUACUUCCCAAGCCACAUGAUCAACGUAUGAGGUUAGCAGUGACGUGUCCUUAAGGCCACCAGGAAAGACAACAUAUGGUUCUAGCUCUUGCUGGUUCGUAGGCUAGACAUGGUCAACAACCUCCACUUGCUCAACAUGCUCCAAAGGCUCCACUUGCACAAGUUGCUCCAAACAGUCCACUACUUGAACUUCUACACAUCACCUUCAUUCAGACAUUGUAGGUCUAAUGCAUCUGUCAUUGUCAUCAUUACCAUCAAAACUAACUCUUUUUGUACAUGCCAUCUGAACAUUAAAUUUUUAUCAUUAGAUUCCACAAUCAGAUAGGCUAAAAGCAACAACUUCUACAAUAAAGAAGAAAACAUCGGAAACAUCACGGAGUACUAUAUUCUUCAUAUUGUUAAACAUUGGAGUAAAGAUUGGGAAUUACAAAUUAUUACUCGAUAAAAAUAUGUUUCUAAUCUUCUAUACUAGUCUCUAUUUAUUGCUUACAAAAUAUCAAACAAACAUUGCAAAAACUGGUAUUCAUGCUUUCUAUCUCUUAAUUUAACCCAACUAAAUUUGUUAUGGGAUAGGAUUACUGAUGUGAAUUGAUUCAAUUAGGAAUCUUGGUAUUAUUUCACACUUGUUGAAUGUUAGGAACUCAUAAAAUGUGAUUAGAUAUGAAUAUAAAUUCGUAUAGGCUAAGAGGAAUUCUCUUAGGAAAUUCCAAGCAUUCUAAAGAGUUCAAAUGAAAUCAAAUUAUAAAAGAAAAUGUGUAAAAUGUGAUUUGUAUGUAUUAUUUUUCAUUUACAUAAUUUUUGCAGCUUCUCGAGUCUUUUUCUUUGGUGUACAUUUAUGUAUUAUUAUACCCAAAUAGCAUUUAUGCUUAGGAAAUUUUGAGGAUGGAACAAAAGUAAUAAUAUAUCAUGGUUGAAUAACAUUAAAAUUAAGAUCUAAGCUGCAUGUUGGAGAGUAAAGUGUGAAUGUAUGUAUACAUGAUUUUGAUGAUGUCAAAGAAGAAUCUAACAAGGCUGCUUCAAAUGAUAAGCAUUUGCUUCAAGAAUAAUUCAAAAUUGCUUCAACAAACAAAGCCUUGUUUCAAGAUUCACUAAAGACCAAGCCUUGCCUUAAAACAAAGUGCUUUCAAGACAUGCAAGGCUCUGGUAAUCGAUUACCAGGAAGUGUAAUCGAUUACCAGAAGACAGGGUUGAGAAAUAGCUGUUGAAAAAUGUUUUGAAUUUGAAUUUUCAACAUGUAAUUGAUUACCAGCAACGAAACUUUGGAAAUUCAAAUUCAAAAGUCAUAACCCUUCAAAUUAUAAAUGUGUAAUCGAUUACACAAACAUUGUAAUCGAUUACCAGUGGAAAGUUUUCAGAAAAUCUGCCAACAGUCACAUCUUUUCAUUAGAUUUGUGAAUGGCCAUCAAAGGCCUAUAAAUAGGUGACUUGGGCACGAAUUUUAUGCAGAGAGUUUUGCUUGGCAAAAAUGUCUUAUCCUCUCAAAAGACAAUGAGAGAGAUUCCAAAAGAACUUCAUUGUCAAAUGCUCUCUCAAAAGAAAUCCUUGGCCAAACACUUGCAAAAUCUAUAAGAAUUCCUACAUGAUCUUUAUUGUAAUAUUCUUCUCUUGAAGAGAGAAUUCUUCUUCCAUUCUUCUUAUUCAAUGAGAUUGACUAAGAGACUGUGAGUCUCUUGUUGUAAAGCAUCUGAACACAAGGAAUGGGUUGUCCCUGUGUGGUUCAGACUUUGUAAAGGAUUUUACAAAGAUAGUGGAAAUCUCAAGUGGGUUGCUUGAGUACUGGAUGUAGGCACGGGUUGUGGCCGAACCAGUAUAAAACUGUGUUUGCAUUCUCUCUUCCCUUAUCUCAUUUAUGUUAUUACAAUCAAUUUUGCCUUGCAUGUUUAUAGAACAUUAUUAAAUUGAUUGUUGUUGCUUCUUCUGCAUUCUAAGUCUAUCCCUCUUAAGAUUAUUGAGGCCACAAGGUCCAACAUAAAGUGCAGAGUAAUAAAUAUUAUUGUUUGAUGAAAUACAAGAAUUUGGAUAACAAAUCAAAUGAUUGUUCCAAACCAGCUAUUCCAAAAUAGGUGUUCUGGAACAGCUAUUCUAGAAUAGGUGUUUUGGAACACCUACUCCAUUAUAGUUGUUCCAUAACACCAAUUCAGGAUCUGAAGACCUUCCCUACCAGAACCCCAUCCCCCACCAACUCACCACUAGAACCAAAACCAUACUUGCCACUAGAACCAAAACCCAACCCCUCACCAGAACCCAAAAGAGACGAAAGGAACCUACCUUGAAUGACGAUGCACAGAGGAAGGAAGGUGCACAAAGAGCCACGAUGAGGAGGUUGCAGGCAAAACGAGGUGGCACGGGAGAAAGAGGAGGCUUGUUGUGGGAAGAACAACCUUCACGAGAAGGAGACGCGUCGUCGCAUACGAGAAGUGCGUUGUGGGGAAGGGGGUGUUAGGGUAGAUGGUUUCUAAAGGAGAGAGGUAUUAGGAUUGGGGAGGUGUUAUCUCGUUAAGGAUAAUUUAGUAAUUUCAAGAAUGUUUAAGAAGUGUAGGAUUCAAAUCCCAAAAUAAAAGAGUGUAAAUAACAAUUGUCCAAAUAAUAACAUGAGCCCAACAAUUUAAAACAUAAAUGCGGGUUGCUAUGGAUCAAAGGGUGAAUGGCCCAUGAAAAAAAGAAGACGAAAAUCUUCCAAGGCUUAUGUAAUACAAAAUCAUCAAUAAAGUAUUCAAACUAGUCAAGCUUUCAAAAUGGAAAUCUAUAAAUCUAAAAUAUGAUAAUUAUAUAUAUUAGUAGACACAUCACUGAUUACAAAUUUAAUUAGAUUUUAAUGAACAAGUGUGCUAUUAAUAAUAAACUAACUAUAAUAGGAAUAUAAAAAAUAAAAGAAAUACUUUUAAUUAAAGUAAAAGUAAUAAAUUAAUUACUAUAAAAAGUAACUCAUUUAUAGUUUAUAAUUUUGUAUCAUUAUUAAUAAUUUGGAAGAGUAAAAAAAAUUCCUAAAUUAAAAUACUAAUUCUUAAGAAACUAUAAUUUUCUAAAUUUCAUGUUAAAAACCCUGAUGUCACAGUUGAGCUUUUAGUUGGAUUAAAAAGUUCAAGUGAUAUACAAAAUAAUUAACAAGACUAAAUUGGUUAAUCCAUAUGACGUAUCCCCUUGAAUUAAUCUACCUCUUGGUUAAAGAGAGAAUAUUAUUUAUAAGUUUCACAUUUAGUGUAUAAUAUUUGUAGAGGUCUCGCUGCACUUUUAGCGUUGUGAUUUGACAUAGAGUUCUGAUAUUGUAAUUUUACAAUCAAGACGUAAACACGAUUUAUAACUUAAAAGUUAGAACUAUUGCUCGGAGGGUUUUGAUAUUUUAAAAAGUUUUAAAAUGUUAUCUAUUCCACCACUACCUUGUGUGUUUCAAAACCCAACAAAUAGGCAUCCAGCUAUCUUCCACUUUGAUUAGACGAAUGUAUGAAGUGUAUUCUCCUUGAAGUAGACAUUUUUGCCUCUAGGAUAAUAAAAUUAGAAGAGAGGAUUUGGUAAAUUUGGUGGAGGAGUAGCAUGGGUCCCUUGUGGCGGCAGGUACCAUGAAACAGGAGAAACUAUAUUUGAGUUGUAUAAUAUAUAACCAAAAAAAAAAAAACUAAUAACAUAUAAUUAUGUAAUUUGAAGAUUAGUCAAUUUAACUGUCUCGGACCUCUGAGUAUGUUAGAUUUACCAUUCAAUUCAAUUUAUUCGCAUUUCGAGACAAAAUAUAACAGGCUGAAAAAUAAACGUAAAAAUAAAGGUGUAGAUAUUUUUACAAAAGUAUUUUUUGUUACCAAUAUCCAUUGGAGUGGUUUCCAACGGUAAAUCAAACAUAUAUCUAAUAAUUUAUCUAGAAUCAGUUUUUGAAGGAGUCCACAACAUCAUUUUAUUGGGUGACAAAAAAAGGAGGUUGAAGAUGGACACGUGUGAAAAUUAUGGAUGGAUUAUAUGAACAUAGAACGACGAAGACAACACCAAGAGUUCGAUAGAUUGCAAGAAUGGAAGAGAGGGAGAGAUUCGUAUCUAAAUGUGCAUUAAAACCCCAACAAUCAAAAGGGUCUAUAUAUUAAAAGGGUCUUAUUGAGUUAUAUGAGUAUCGUGUACCAAUUAUUGUACUUUGUAUCGAAAUUCAACUCCUUCUUUUUGAAUAAAAAAUAUUGGGUAUAUGUGAUUAUGCAAUCUGUUAAUUAAUUUCUUAUAAUAAAAAUAUAUUCUGUUAAUUCAAUUUCUCAUUUGGGUGUAUGUUAGUAAUCUUUUGGUUAUCUUUUAUAAGAAAAAGAAACUAAUUUCAUACUUAUUAAAAAAUUAGUUGAUUUCAUUAAAUUGUGUUAUUUUUAAUUAAAAAUUAAACAUUUUUUCUAAACUAUUUAUCACUCAUUUGGAAUGUGACAUUAAGUACAAAUUCUCUGUUAAAUAAAAGAUAUUUUAAAUAUACUCUUCUUAAAUAAGACAAAAAUAAUUAAAUUUUAUUUAUAUUUGAGAAAAAAAAUACUUUUUUUUUCUUAUAAAAGAGUAUAGAGGAAUAUAUAUACCCAAUUGAUUAGCUUAAUUAUGCCCAGAAAUAAACUCAAUUAGCAUGUUAAAUUUAGAAUUUCUCACAUAUAUUUUGAGAAACUUUUUUUUUAAUGCAAGAGGAUCAUAUAGUUUCAUUAAUGACAAUAGUAUUGAUAUAAGCAGAAAUGCUAUGAAAAAAACUUGUAGUCUAACAAAAGAUUUAAGACGCUCUAAUUAAGAAAUGAGCAAUUAAAUUUGUUUGUGUACCUAUAAAUCUUACUGAAGAGUUGUUAAUCAAGCUAAGCUUCUCAAACAUAACACUAUUGAUAAUUUCAUAUUUAGCUUUAAAAAAUUGUAUAAAUCUCGUGUAUGUACAUCUAAUGGUAAUCAUGAUUCUUAAAAGAAGAAUUUUCUUCCUCUAAAAAGUACAAAAAGAAUUUAUUGGAAUUGAAUCAAUGAGCCAGGAAUAAAGACUUUUAUGCUCACCUGGCAUGUGCCUGAGUUCACUCACUGGGCUUUAAUUUUGGGCAUGUCAUUUGUCUCAUCAAUCAAUCAAAACUAAAGUGACCAAGUCAUCGUGAUUUAACUUUUGGGAUGGAAGCGAUCUUGGGCGGUUAAGGGUGGCCCUUUAGUUUUUGAGAGUGAAUGAACAUC
RNAcentral lists this long non-coding RNA (5429 nucleotides) under Glycine max (soybean). Its description in RNAcentral is "long non-coding RNA (GMAX_LNC004336)". The record is from RNAcentral. Lineage: Eukaryota; Viridiplantae; Streptophyta; Magnoliopsida; Fabales; Fabaceae.